This 253-nucleotide ribosomal RNA is filed under the name uncultured bacterium. RNAcentral's name for it is "partial 16S ribosomal RNA". It matches the Rfam family "Bacterial small subunit ribosomal RNA", at positions 524 to 776 of the family's 1533-position model. The record is from RNAcentral.
UACAGAGGUCCCAAGCGUUGCUCGGAAUUACUGGGCGUAAAGGGAGCGUAGGCGGAUAGUUCAGUCAGAGGUGAAAGCCCAGGGCUCAACCUUGGAACUGCCUUUGAUACUGGCUAUCUUGAGUUUGGGAGAGGUAUGUGGAACUCCGAGUGUAGAGGUGAAAUUCGUAGAUAUGCGGAAGAACACCAGUGGCGAAGGCGACAUACUGGCCCAAUACUGACGCUGAGGCUCGAAAGCGUGGGGAGCAAACAGG